Danio rerio (zebrafish) is the source of this 117-nucleotide ribosomal RNA. The record is from Ensembl. Lineage: Eukaryota; Metazoa; Chordata; Actinopteri; Cypriniformes; Danionidae.
UGCCACAGCCAUAUCACCCUGCAGCCCAAGACCGGUUACUCACUGAAGCUAAGUAGGCCUGAGCCAGGUCAGUAUCUAGAUAGGAGACCACUAGGGAACACUAGGUUGCUGUUGGAA